RNAcentral lists this ribosomal RNA (422 nucleotides) under uncultured Taibaiella sp. RNAcentral describes it as "bacterial SSU rRNA". It matches the Rfam family "Bacterial small subunit ribosomal RNA", at positions 355 to 774 of the family's 1533-position model. Lineage: Bacteria; Pseudomonadati; Bacteroidota; Chitinophagia; Chitinophagales; Chitinophagaceae. The record is from RNAcentral.
UGAGGAAUAUUGGUCAAUGGACGGAAGUCUGAACCAGCCAUGCCGCGUGAAGGAUGAAGGCGUUCUGCGUUGUAAACUUCUUUUAUCUGAGAAGAAACCACCGAUUUCUAUUGGUGUUGACGGUAUCAGAUGAAUAAGCACCGGCUAACUCCGUGCCAGCAGCCGCGGUAAUACGGAGGGUGCAAGCGUUAUCCGGAUUUACUGGGUUUAAAGGGUGUGUAGGCGGACUUAUAAGUCAGGGGUGAAAUCUCCGAGCUCAACUCGGAAACUGCCUUUGAUACUAUUAGUCUUGAAUUAUGUUGAGGUUGGCGGAAUAUAACAUGUAGCGGUGAAAUGCAUAGAUAUGUUAUAGAACACCGAUUGCGAAGGCAGCUGGCUAAACAUAUAUUGACGCUGAGGCACGAAAGCGUGGGUAGCGAACA